This 1322-nucleotide long non-coding RNA is filed under the name Calidris pugnax (ruff). Its description in RNAcentral is "lncRNA (ENSCPUG00000008299.1)". Lineage: Eukaryota; Metazoa; Chordata; Aves; Charadriiformes; Scolopacidae. The record is from RNAcentral.
CUCUUCACUGCCAUCAGGAAAUGGACAGCCCACUUCCACUCCAGUGAACCAAAAGCUGCCUUUUCCCAGACAAGGAAGGGAAAGAAGAUUUUAGGAGAGAGCCAUUAAUGUGUCUUCUUUCAGUUUUCAGGUUACCGAAGCCUCUACGGAAACCAAAAGGAAGAGACCCUGCUCCCCAGCCUGAGAAGCAGCAGAGGAGGUUUAUUACGGAGUAUGAAAAUCAGGAAGCUUUUUGUUCACUUCAUACAUCUCCUCCAACAAAGCCAGGCAUCAGCACCCCGGCACAGACUCCGGAGUGAUUAUUGUUACACAUGAUCUAUGGAGCAGAUAAAUUACAGCUUGAUUUUUAUAAGACAGGAGAAAACCCCCGCGGAACCAGCCAGCACAUGUUUCGUGGCAAGAUCAGGGCCUCAGACACCACAAACUCUUCCUUUUUGGGCUCAAGAUCCUGAGAAGCUGCGGAAAAUUUGGGCAGAAGCAGAUCCUCUCAGCGUUGCACGGGACAGCAGACGUGACCUGCUCGGGGAUGUGGAGACACCUGGCACGGGGUCCUCAGUCUGGUCGGAUGGGAUGGAACAGGUGACCAUCAUGCUCUUGUAUUUUUUAACUUUGGGAAAAAAGGAAAUUUUUCUUUGGGAGUUAUGGGAGCUCUUGGCUGGCUGUAUCAGAAAAGUUUCCUUGGAUCUCUUCCACUUCAUGCCAGGAUAUUGUUCAGUCUAAUGACCAGCUUGAGAGAAAUGUUUCCACUUUCUAGAGUGGAGUGAUUUACUACCUUACCUCUCCCAGCAUUUCCAUAGAGGUGAAUUCCACACAUUUUUAAACCUGUAGUCAGAAUUUGUGCUCCAGGAUCCUUUUAAAGCCAGGCUCAGCGAUACUACGUACCAUUAGCAGUGGAUCCCUCUGAGAAAGGAGAAUGGGAUUUUCCCCCACUGUGAUCAGCACUGUCUUUUCUGCUUUAUUUUCCUUCUGGGCUGUCCUCACCCCUUUGUUUCCUCUCUGGGAUGGCAUCAUUCCUCCCCUCUGAGGCCGAGCUGCCGCGCAGCCUCUGUGCAGCAUCUGAGAGGGUACGAGGCGGUAGUGGAAGUGCUGGAGUGUCCCGGCACUAAUCACAUAUUAUCACCUUACGAUAAUUAUCCAAGCUGAUUCUGAAUGAAUCCUCUUUGGAGAAGGUCCUUGGCCUGCCCUCUGCUUGGCAGAAUGCCCGAGGUGCCACUGGCACGAACACAUGAAGACUGGUGAAAUCCAAAGUGCCGUAUUACGUUGCAGGAAGCAGCCAGCCAGGUGUUACCACCAAGACAUAAUAAAUUCCUGUUGGUACGGCA